RNAcentral lists this ribosomal RNA (447 nucleotides) under uncultured bacterium. RNAcentral describes it as "bacterial SSU rRNA". It matches the Rfam family "Bacterial small subunit ribosomal RNA", at positions 60 to 507 of the family's 1533-position model. The record is from RNAcentral.
AACGGGGUGCCUAUGAUUGAGACUUCGGUUGAUUGAUUAGGUUACCUAGUGGCGGACUGGUGCGUAACACGUGAGUAACCUGCCUCGGAGUGUGGAAUAACACAGCGAAAGUUGUGCUAAUACCGCAUAAUGUAGUUGUACCGCAUGGUGCUGACUACCAAAGAUUUAUUGCUCUGAGAUGGACUCGCGGCCGAUUAGCUAGUUGGUGAGGGUUAAACGGGCCCACCAAGGCGACGAUCAGUAGCCGGCCUGAGAGGGUGAACGGCCACAUUGGGACUGAGACACGGCCCAAACUCCUACGGGAGGCAGCAGCGGGGAAUAUUGCACAAUGGGGGAAACCCUGAUGCAGCGACGCCGCGUGAGUGAAGAAGUAUUUCGGUAUGUAAAGCUCUAUCAGCAGGGAAGAAAGUGACGGUACCUGACUAAGAAGCCCCGGCUAACUACGUG